Molecule: ribosomal RNA, 254 nt
Filed under: uncultured bacterium
Lineage: Bacteria
Description: partial 16S ribosomal RNA
Rfam family: Bacterial small subunit ribosomal RNA
Source: RNAcentral
GACAGAGGGUGCAAACGUUGUUCGGAAUUACUGGGCGUAAAGCGAGUGUAGGCGGUUCGGUAAGUCGGAUGUGAAAGCCCCGGGCUCAACCCGGGAAGUGCACUCGAUACUGCCGAGCUAGAGUGUCGGAGAGGUUGGUGGAAUUCUCGGUGUAGAGGUGAAAUUCGUAGAUAUCGAGAGGAACACCGGUGGCGAAGGCGGCCAACUGGACGAACACUGACGCUGAGACUCGAAAGCCGUGGGGAGCAAACAGG